GUUGAAGUUCAGGUAACACUGAAUGGAGGACCGAACCGACUUACGUUGAAAAGUGAGCGGAUGAACUGAGGGUAGCGGAGAAAUUCCAAUCGAACCUGGAGAUAGCUGGUUCUCUCCGAAAUAGCUUUAGGGCUAGCCUCAAGUGAUGAUUAUUGGAGGUAGAGCACUGUUUGGACGAGGGGCCCCUCUCGGGUUACCGAAUUCAGACAAACUCCGAAUGCCAAUUAAUUUAACUUGGGAGUCAGAACAUGGGUGAUAAGGUCCGUGUUCGAAAGGGAAACAGCCCAGACCACCAGCUAAGGUCCCAAAAUAUAUGUUAAGUGGAAAAGGAUGUGGCGUUGCCCAGACAACUAGGAUGUUGGCUUAGAAGCAGCCAUCAUUUAAAGAGUGCGUAAUAGCUCACUAGUCGAGUGACACUGCGCCGAAAAUGUACCGGGGCUAAACAUAUUACCGAAGCUGUGGAUUGUCCUUUGGACAAUGGUAGGAGAGCGUUCUAAGG
This 499-nucleotide ribosomal RNA is filed under the name Staphylococcus aureus. Its description in RNAcentral is "partial 23S ribosomal RNA". It matches the Rfam family "Bacterial large subunit ribosomal RNA", at positions 744 to 1246 of the family's 2925-position model. Lineage: Bacteria; Bacillati; Bacillota; Bacilli; Caryophanales; Staphylococcaceae. The record is from RNAcentral.